Molecule: ribosomal RNA, 254 nt
Filed under: uncultured bacterium
Lineage: Bacteria
Description: partial 16S ribosomal RNA
Rfam family: Bacterial small subunit ribosomal RNA
Source: RNAcentral
UACGUAGGGUCCAAGCGUUAUCCGGAAUUACUGGGCGUAAAGAGUUGCGUAGGUGGCAAGUUAAGUCAGUAGUGAAAUGACGGGGCUCAACCCUGUGUCCAUUACUGAAACUGGCUAGCUAGAGAAUGAGAGAGGUCACUGGAAUUCCCUGUGUAGGAGUGAAAUCCGUAGAUAUAGGGAGGAACACCGAUGGCGUAGGCAGGUGACUGGCUCAUUUCUGACACUAAGGCACGAAAGCGUGGGGAGCAAACGGG